GACGAACGCUGGCGGCGUGCUUAACACAUGCAAGUCGAACGGAAAGGCCCUGCUUUUGUGGGGUGCUCGAGUGGCGAACGGGUGAGUAACACGUGAGUAACCUGCCCUUGACUUUGGGAUAACUUCAGGAAACUGGGGCUAAUACCGGAUAGGAGCUCCUGCUGCAUGGUGGGGGUUGGAAAGUUUCGGCGGUUGGGGAUGGACUCGCGGCUUAUCAGCUUGUUGGUGGGGUAGUGUCUUACCAAGGCUUUGACGGGUAGCCGGCCUGAGAGGGUGACCGGCCACAUUGGGACUGAGAUACGGCCCAGACUCCUACGGGAGGCAGCAGUGGGGAAUAUUGCACAAUGGGCGGAAGCCUGAUGCAGCAACGCCGCGUGCGGGAUGACGGCCUUCGGGUUGUAAACCGCUUUCGCCUGUGACGAAGCGUGAGUGACGGUAAUGGGUAAAGAAGCACCGGCUAACUACGU
This 467-nucleotide ribosomal RNA is filed under the name uncultured bacterium. Its description in RNAcentral is "partial 16S ribosomal RNA". It matches the Rfam family "Bacterial small subunit ribosomal RNA", at positions 28 to 506 of the family's 1533-position model. The record is from RNAcentral.